RNAcentral lists this ribosomal RNA (907 nucleotides) under Ralstonia sp. RNAcentral describes it as "bacterial SSU rRNA". It matches the Rfam family "Bacterial small subunit ribosomal RNA", at positions 86 to 989 of the family's 1533-position model. The record is from RNAcentral. Lineage: Bacteria; Pseudomonadati; Pseudomonadota; Betaproteobacteria; Burkholderiales; Burkholderiaceae.
UGAUGGCGAGUGGCGAACGGGUGAGUAAUACAUCGGAACGUGCCCUGUAGUGGGGGAUAACUAGUCGAAAGAUUGGCUAAUACCGCAUACGACCUGAGGGUGAAAGUGGGGGACCGCAAGGCCUCAUGCUAUAGGAGCGGCCGAUGUCUGAUUAGCUAGUUGGUGGGGUAAAGGCCCACCAAGGCGACGAUCAGUAGCUGGUCUGAGAGGACGAUCAGCCACACUGGGACUGAGACACGGCCCAGACUCCUACGGGAGGCAGCAGUGGGGAAUUUUGGACAAUGGGCGAAAGCCUGAUCCAGCAAUGCCGCGUGUGUGAAGAAGGCCUUCGGGUUGUAAAGCACUUUUGUCCGGAAAGAAAUGGCUCUGGUUAAUACCUGGGGUCGAUGACGGUACCGGAAGAAUAAGGACCGGCUAACUACGUGCCAGCAGCCGCGGUAAUACGUAGGGUCCAAGCGUUAAUCGGAAUUACUGGGCGUAAAGCGUGCGCAGGCGGUUGUGCAAGACCGAUGUGAAAUCCCCGAGCUUAACUUGGGAAUUGCAUUGGUGACUGCACGGCUAGAGUGUGUCAGAGGGGGGUAGAAUUCCACGUGUAGCAGUGAAAUGCGUAGAGAUGUGGAGGAAUACCGAUGGCGAAGGCAGCCCCCUGGGAUAACACUGACGCUCAUGCACGAAAGCGUGGGGAGCAAACAGGAUUAGAUACCCUGGUAGUCCACGCCCUAAACGAUGUCAACUAGUUGUUGGGGAUUCAUUUCCUUAGUAACGUAGCUAACGCGUGAAGUUGACCGCCUGGGGAGUACGGUCGCAAGAUUAAAACUCAAAGGAAUUGACGGGGACCCGCACAAGCGGUGGAUGAUGUGGAUUAAUUCGAUGCAACGCGAAAAACCUUACCUACCCUUUGACAUGC